GACGAACGCUGGCGGCGUGCUUAACACAUGCAAGUCGAACGCUGAAGCUUGGUGCUUGCACUGGGUGGCUGAGUGGCGAACGGGUGAGUAAUACGUGAGUAACCUGCCCUUGACUCUGGGAUAAGCCUGGGAAACUGGGUCUAAUACUGGAUACGACAUGUCACCGCAUGGUGGCGUGUGGAAAGGGUUUUACUGGUUUUGGAUGGGCUCACGGCCUAUCAGCUUGUUGGUGGGGUAAUGGCUCACCAAGGCGACGACGGGUAGCCGGCCUGAGAGGGUGACCGGCCACACUGGGACUGAGACACGGCCCAGACUCCUACGGGAGGCAGCAGUGGGGAAUAUUGCACAAUGGGCGAAAGCCUGAUGCAGCGACGCCGCGUGAGGGAUGACGGCCUUCGGGUUGUAAACCUCUUUCAGCACGGAAGAAGCGAAAGUGACGGUACGUGCAGAAGAAGCGCCGGCUAACUACGUG
RNAcentral lists this ribosomal RNA (472 nucleotides) under uncultured bacterium. RNAcentral describes it as "partial 16S ribosomal RNA". It matches the Rfam family "Bacterial small subunit ribosomal RNA", at positions 28 to 507 of the family's 1533-position model. The record is from RNAcentral.